UGGCGACCGGCGCACGGGUGAGUAACGCGUAUCCAACCUGCCUAUUACCACGGGAUACCCCGGCGAAAGUCGGCCUAAUACCGUAUGCAGUCCUCCAAUGGCAUCAGCAGUGGACGAAAGGUUUAGCGGUAAUGGAUGGGGAUGCGUCCGAUUAGCUUGUUGGCGGGGUAACAGCCCACCAAGGCAUCGAUCGGUAGGGGUUCUGAGAGGAAGGUCCCCCACACUGGAACUGAGACACGGUCCAGACUCC
This 250-nucleotide ribosomal RNA is filed under the name uncultured Prevotella sp. RNAcentral describes it as "partial 16S ribosomal RNA". It matches the Rfam family "Bacterial small subunit ribosomal RNA", at positions 89 to 339 of the family's 1533-position model. Lineage: Bacteria; Pseudomonadati; Bacteroidota; Bacteroidia; Bacteroidales; Prevotellaceae. The record is from RNAcentral.